This 354-nucleotide transfer-messenger RNA is filed under the name Chloroflexota (GNS bacteria). RNAcentral describes it as "VGOZ01 sp016875715 Standard tmRNA". It matches the Rfam family "transfer-messenger RNA". From Rfam's summary of the family: Bacterial tmRNA, also known as 10Sa RNA or SsrA, is named for its dual tRNA and mRNA-like properties. Its role is to liberate the mRNA from a stalled ribosome. The record is from RNAcentral. Lineage: Bacteria; Bacillati. RNAcentral also lists the same sequence under 1 other name.
GGGGAUGACCGGUUUCGACAGCGGUGGCUGGUCAGUUGGGGCGCGCCGAGGUUGUCCGUUCGCCUCGCAAAACCACGGGCACUGGCAUAACUGCCAAUCGCGAAUACGCUCUCGCCGCCUAAACAAGGUGACGACGUCCCUCCUCUCCUCCUCCCGAUGGGAGCGGAAGGGGCGCCAUGUAGUCGGGAUGCUACCCAUCAGACGCCGAUAAGAGGGGUCCAAGACUAUCGUGCUGGCGAUGGCACUCCGUGCUGAUGCGGCCGGCUAUCGCGAGAUCACCAAGUAUCAGACACGCGCGUAGAUCCACCUGUUCUGUCUCGUUGGACGCGGGUUCGACUCCCGCCAUCUCCACCC